CGUUAAGCAGGCAAGACCUGGGCAAUUCAAAAAAAGAGUUAAAGUUAAUGUGCCUGACUGGCAAUUUUUAGUGAGACAUUUGAUUCGGGAAGCAAUGGUGGAUGUGUUUGGCUAAAGUGAUGAGACAGCCAACUAAAAAAGCCUUGUCCUAAAUCCUGGAAUCAGCAAAGUGGUUGUGAUGGAGUAAACAGGUGAUGAUUUUGAGAUCGGCCUUUCAUUCCAAUACCAAAUCCUUGGUGAUGGAUACUAUUGGGAGUACCAGUGAUUAGGUGGCCCAGACUGAGGAUGGUAGAUUCUGCUUCGGAGUGGCCAGUAUUCUACUGGCAGGCACAACAUUUGUCCGGACAAACCACCAAAUUCUGCAUGUCGUCGUGGGAUACCCUGAUACACUGACGCUCACCCCACAAUAGGAUUAAGUAUUAAACCAUAGCCGUAAGUAAUAAACUAAUCCCCUUGAUGUAAAAUUUAUGCUUUAGAUUUUGCUAUGCGAUGACUCGUUAAUAUUCUUCGAUGGGUUACCUUAUACUUGUACCCGGUAGGUUGAAGAUUGGUCCCUGUGGUGAG
Armigeres subalbatus is the source of this 564-nucleotide long non-coding RNA. RefSeq lists it as uncharacterized. The transcript has 3 exons. Lineage: Eukaryota; Metazoa; Arthropoda; Insecta; Diptera; Culicidae. The record is from RefSeq and is a predicted model, not a curated record.